This 27-nucleotide ribosomal RNA is filed under the name Trichoderma asperellum. RNAcentral describes it as "partial 18S ribosomal RNA". The record is from RNAcentral. Lineage: Eukaryota; Fungi; Ascomycota; Sordariomycetes; Hypocreales; Hypocreaceae.
UGUUUCCGUAGGUGAACCUGCGGAGGG